AGUUUGAUCCUGGCUCCGAUUGAACGCUGGCGGCAGGCCUAACACAUGCAAGUCGAACGGUAACAGAAAGCAGCUUGCUGCUUUGCUGACGAGUGGCGGACGGGUGAGUAAUGUCUGGGAAACUGCCUGAUGGAGGGGGAUAACUACUGGAAACGGUAGCUAAUACCGCAUAACGUCGCAAGACCAAAGAGGGGGACCUUCGGGCCUCCUGCCAUCGGAUGUGCCCAGAUGGGAUUAGCUUGUUGGUGGGGUAACGGCUCACCAAGGCGACGAUCCCUAGCUGGUCUGAGAGGAUGACCAGCCACACUGGAACUGAGACACGGUCCAGACUCCUACGGGAGGCAGCAGUGGGGAAUAUUGCACAAUGGGCGCAAGCCUGAUGCAGCCAUGCCGCGUGUAUGAAGAAGGCCUUCGGGUUGUAAAGUACUUUCAGCGGGGAGGAAGGGAGUAAAGUUAAUACCUUUGCUCAUUGACGUUACCCGCAGAAGAAGCACCGGCUAACUCCGUGCCAGCAGCCGCGGUAAUACGGAGGGUGCAAGCGUUAAUCGGAAUUACUGGGCGUAAAGCGCACGCAGGCGGUUUGUUAAGUCAGAUGUGAAAUCCCCGGGCUCAACCUGGGAACUGCAUCUGAUACUGGCAAGCUUGAGUCUCGUAGAGGGGGGUAGAAUUCCAGGUGUAGCGGUGAAAUGCGUAGAGAUCUGGAGGAAUACCGGUGGCGAAGGCGGCCCCCUGGACGAAGACUGACGCUCAGGUGCGAAAGCGUGGGGAGCAAACAGGAUUAGAUACCCUGGUAGUCCACGCCGUAAACGAUGUCGACUUGGAGGUUGUGCCCUUGAGGCGUGGCUUCCGGAGCUAACGCGUUAAGUCGACCGCCUGGGGAGUACGGCCGCAAGGUUAAAACUCAAAUGAAUUGACGGGGGCCCGCACAAGCGGUGGAGCAUGUGGUUUAAUUCGAUGCAACGCGAAGAACCUUACCUGGUCUUGACAUCCACGGAAGUUUUCAGAGAUGAGAAUGUGCCUUCGGGAACCGUGAGACAGGUGCUGCAUGGCUGUCGUCAGCUCGUGUUGUGAAAUGUUGGGUUAAGUCCCGCAACGAGCGCAACCCUUAUCCUUUGUUGCCAGCGGUCCGGCCGGGAACUCAAAGGAGACUGCCAGUGAUAAACUGGAGGAAGGUGGGGAUGACGUCAAGUCAUCAUGGCCCUUACGACCAGGGCUACACACGUGCUACAAUGGCGCAUACAAAGAGAAGCGACCUCGCGAGAGCAAGCGGACCUCAUAAAGUGCGUCGUAGUCCGGAUUGGAGUCUGCAACUCGACUCCAUGAAGUCGGAAUCGCUAGUAAUCGUGGAUCAGAAUGCCACGGUGAAUACGUUCCCGGGCCUUGUACACACCGCCCGUCACACCAUGGGAGUGGGUUGCAAAAGAAGUAGGUAGCUUAACCUUCGGGAGGGCGCUUACCACUUUGUGAUUCAUGACUGGGGUGAAGUC
This 1487-nucleotide ribosomal RNA is filed under the name uncultured bacterium. RNAcentral describes it as "bacterial SSU rRNA". It matches the Rfam family "Bacterial small subunit ribosomal RNA". The record is from RNAcentral.